UGAGAGUUGGGAAGUUUUCUGGGUAG
RNAcentral lists this non-coding RNA (26 nucleotides) under Mus musculus (house mouse). Lineage: Eukaryota; Metazoa; Chordata; Mammalia; Rodentia; Muridae. The record is from RNAcentral.